GCGGCGCUGAGGUACCGGCGCUGAGGUACCGGCGCUGAGGUACCGGCGCUGAGGUACCGGCGCUGAGGUACCGGCGCUGAGGUACCGGCGCUGAGCGGGCCGGUUUGGCAGGAUGAGCGCUGUGAGUGAAGAAGCUAAGCCAGAAGAUGUCAAGCCAGAAUCUGAAAAAAAAAAUAUUGUGAAGUUUGUAAAGUGCCAUGUAUGAGUUCUAUAAGUCUUCAGUCACACUAUUGUGGUGCAAAGCAUAGAAAGAAAGAGAAAGUUCUGAGACCCGAGACUGUCUGUUUAUCUCUUGAACCUCUCGGCCUUUUUGCACCAAGUUGAUCCAAGGGCUCCUGAAAAUACACAUCUGCACAGAAGAGUGAUGGUGUCAGUCCUCCACUGAGGGAAUUGCUGCAGGCUGCGCUUACCUCUUGCUGGACCCUGAAGAUUCAACACGAGAAAGAUUUAGAAAAGCGCUGGUCAGAGUCCAUUUAGUAAGAGACUGGGCUUCGUUAGCUGCUCUCAUGGUUUGGUGCUGACAAGAGAAUAUCUGUACAAGGCAUAUCAUUCAAGUAUGUAAACAAUUAUUAGACAUUUUACCUCAGUAGAUGUAAGCACUGCAUGCAGAUCUUCUUUCUUUAGAAAUACUGGUAGUGAAGCUCCUUAACAGAAUUUCUGCAAGAGUUCUGAAAGCAUGAAAGUCUUCUCAAAAUCCAGUGGGUCUUAGCAGUCUAAAAUUAUAUUUGUACCUCAGGAACAACAGCAGAUUUGUUCAGCUGUGGGCUGGUGUUUUUAAUGGAAAACAAUUUGUAGAGAUUUCUUUGUAUCCCUCAUCAAAAACAGUAAUAAGAAAUAAUACUCAUUAAUUGAAGAGGUUCUUGCUUCAAGGCCAUAAAAUCAUGCUUUGGAGGAGUAAUGUAAAGGAUGCGUGGGACAGAAAGUGAGACUUGAAUAAGAGGACAGCAAGACUAAAAAGACAGGUGGAAUACAGAAGCCUGUAGAAAGACCUAUGCCCUAUACUGCUCAAUGUACUACUACAAGCUCAACAUUCUCUGGAGAAUACAGGUUAAGAAUGUCUGCUUGUUAUAAAUAUUGCAUCUCUGGAAAUGUUAUAUGUUAGAAUCUUUCAAUUGUGAUGUAUCUUGCAGAACAAGAGGAGUUAAGUUAAAAUCUCUGAUUAUUAAAGUGAAGAAUCUAGACAUGAAACUUUGAUAAACAAGUUAUCUCUAGCUUCUGAAGAUGUCCCAGCAUCACUGGGACAGAAGUGUUGCAGGAUGUGCUUUAAUCCAGUGUCUUGGUAAUAAUUUUGAAGCAAUCAACCUCUGAUUUCUAAUAUGAAAUGAUCAUUCAUACUAUUGAUGUCUCCGUUAAUCUGUUGCAUUCACGCUGAAUUCUUCUUACUCACUGAAGAUCUGAGCGUGGGAGGCCGGUUGCCAAGCCACUGUUAGGGUUUGAAGAGGCUGAAAUUUGACCUGAUUAAGUUUGUAUAUGUUUUAGUUGUGAGGUUUUCUUUUUCUACAGGUAGAAAACCUUUCCACCGGAAUAGCUUUUCAAAGAUGGCAAUUCAGAUUUAAUUUUGCAGAAUUAUAUAUUUCUUUGAUAUAUAUGCAGAACUUCAGCUCUCCCAUGGACAUACUACCAAUUACACAAAUAAUUUUCCUCAAGAGCCAGCAAAUCUAGGAAGUUCAUUGUAAUCUGUCACUGAGAUAC
Long non-coding RNA from Apus apus (common swift), 1692 nucleotides. RefSeq lists it as uncharacterized. The record is from RefSeq and is a predicted model, not a curated record. The transcript is spliced from 5 exons. Lineage: Eukaryota; Metazoa; Chordata; Aves; Apodiformes; Apodidae.